GUUGGGCGUGGUGGCUCACGCCUGUAAUCCCAGCACUUUGGGAGGCUGAGGUGGGCGGAUCACCUGAGGUCAGGAGUUCGAGACCAGCCUGGCCAACAUGGUGAAACCCCAUCUCUA
This 117-nucleotide small RNA is filed under the name Macaca mulatta (Rhesus monkey). Its description in RNAcentral is "Metazoan signal recognition particle RNA (ENSMMUG00000056865.1)". Lineage: Eukaryota; Metazoa; Chordata; Mammalia; Primates; Cercopithecidae. The record is from Rfam by way of RNAcentral.